Molecule: unclassified non-coding RNA, 328 nt
Filed under: soil metagenome
Description: partial contains 5.8S ribosomal RNA, internal transcribed spacer 2, and large subunit ribosomal RNA
Rfam family: 5.8S ribosomal RNA (bases 1-120)
Source: RNAcentral
GACGAAGAACGUAGCGAAAUGCGAUAAGUAAUGUGAAUUGCAGAAUUCAGUGAAUCAUCGAAUCUUUGAACGCACAUUGCGCCCCUUGGUAUUCCGAGGGGCAUGCCUGUUCGAGCGUCAUUAUAACCCUCAAGCUCAGCUUGGUGUUGGGGCCUGCUGCAGUGGCAGCCCUUAAAAUCAGUGGCGGCGCCAUCUGGCUCUAAGCGUAGUAAUUCUUCUCGCUAUGGAGUCCUGGUGGAUGCUUGCCAUCAACCCCCAAUUUUUCUAUGGUUGACCUCGGAUCAGGUAGGGAUACCCGCUGAACUUAAGCAUAUCAAUAAGCGGAGGA